UACGUAGGGUGCGAGCGUUGCCCGGAUUUAUUGGGCGUAAAGGGCGCGUAGGCGGCCACGCACGUCCGUUGUGAAAUCGCCCGGCUCAACUGGGCGGGGUCAGCGGAUACGGUGUGGCUAGAGCAAGCUAGGGGGCAAUGGAAUUCCCGGUGUAGUGGUGGAAUGCGUAGAUAUCGGGAGGAACACCAGUGGCGAAGGCGGUUGCCUGGAGCUUUGCUGACGCUGAUGCGCGAAGGCGUGGGGAGCGAUCCGG
Molecule: ribosomal RNA, 253 nt
Filed under: uncultured bacterium
Lineage: Bacteria
Description: partial 16S ribosomal RNA
Rfam family: Bacterial small subunit ribosomal RNA
Source: RNAcentral